RNAcentral lists this ribosomal RNA (431 nucleotides) under uncultured bacterium. RNAcentral describes it as "partial 16S ribosomal RNA". It matches the Rfam family "Bacterial small subunit ribosomal RNA", at positions 29 to 505 of the family's 1533-position model. The record is from RNAcentral.
AACGAACGCUGGCGGCAUGCCUAACACAUGCAAGUCGAACGAGACCUUCGGGUCUAGUGGCGCACGGGUGCGUAACGCGUGGGAACCUGCCCUUAGGUUCGGAAUAACUCCCCGAAAGGGGUGCUAAUACCGGAUAAUGUCUUCGGACCAAAGAUUUAUCGCCUUUGGAUGGGCCCGCGUUGGAUUAGCUAGUUGGUAGGGUAAAAGCCUACCAAGGCGACGAUCCAUAGCUGGUCUGAGAGGAUGAUCAGCCACACUGGGACUGAGACAGGGCCCAGACGCCUACAGGAGGCGGAAGUGGGGAAUAUUGGACAAGGGGCGAAGGCCUAAUCCAGCAAUGCGGCGGGAGGGAUGAAGGCGUUAGGGUUGUAAAGCUCUUUUACCCGGGAUGAUAAUGACAGUACCGGGAGAAUAAGCUCCGGCUAACUCCG